CCCCUAGUACUGCGAGUGAGCGGGAAAAGCUCAAAUUUAAAAUCUGGUGGUCUUUGGCCAUCCGAGUUGUAAUUUAGAGAAGCGUCUUCCGCGCUGGACCGUGCACAAGUCUCCUGGAAUGGAGCGUCGUAGAGGGUGAGAAUCCCGUCUUUGGCACGGAUGCACCAGGGCUUCUGUGAUGCGCUCUCGAAGAGUCGAGUUGUUUGGGAAUGCAGCUCAAAAUGGGUGGUGAACUCCAUCUAAAGCUAAAUAUUGGCGAGAGACCGAUAGCGAACAAGUACCGUGAGGGAAAGAUGAAAAGCACUUUGGAAAGAGAGUGAAACAGUACGUGAAAUUGUUGAAAGGGAAACGCUUGAAGUCAGUCGCGUCGCCCGAGACUCAGCCUCGCCUCGGCUUGGUGUACUUCUCGGCCGACGGGUCAGCAUCAAUUUCGCCCCUUGGAUAAUGGCGAGGGAAAUGUGGCACCUUCACGGGUGUGUUAUAGUCUCUCGUCGCAUGCAAGGGUCGGGAUUGAGGAACUCAGCACGCGCCUUUCGGCGUCGGGGUUCGCCCACGAUACGUGCUUAGGAUGUUGGCGUAAUGGCUUUAAACGACCCGUCUUGAAACACGGACCAAGGAGUCUAACAUGCCCGCGAGUGUUCGGGUGGAAAACCCGUGCGCGCAAUGAAAGUGAAAGUUGGGACCUCUGUCGUGGAGGGCACCAACGCCCGGACCAGACCUUCUGUGACGGAUCUGCGGUAGAGCGUGUAUGUUAGGACCCGAAAGAUGGUGAACUAUGCCUGAAUAGGGUGAAGCCAGAGGAAACUCUGGUGGAGGCUCGUAGCGAUUCUGACGUGCAAAUCGAUCGUCAAAUUUGGGUAUAGGGGCGAAAGACUAAUCGAACCAUCUAGU
RNAcentral lists this ribosomal RNA (891 nucleotides) under Russula cf. queletii. RNAcentral's name for it is "LSU rRNA". It matches the Rfam family "Eukaryotic large subunit ribosomal RNA", at positions 77 to 948 of the family's 3401-position model. Lineage: Eukaryota; Fungi; Basidiomycota; Agaricomycetes; Russulales; Russulaceae. The record is from RNAcentral.